RNAcentral lists this long non-coding RNA (2586 nucleotides) under Triticum aestivum (bread wheat). RNAcentral describes it as "long non-coding RNA (TAES_LNC009993)". Lineage: Eukaryota; Viridiplantae; Streptophyta; Magnoliopsida; Poales; Poaceae. The record is from RNAcentral.
CUCGUCGUGCGCCUGGGCUGCAGCGCGCGUUGACUGGCCCAGCCUCCUCCCGUUCCAGAUCGCGAGGCCCGGCCUCCUUCGAUCCAGCCGGCCUGCUUGGCCUCUCUCCAGUUCCGGGCCAAGGCCCAUGGUGAGGCCCAGCGCCUCCUUUGUUUUUUUUCUUUUUCUUUAUUCCCUAUUGGGCCUCUGCUUAGUCUCAACCCUUAUGUUUUUUUCCUGACUGCGAUUUUAGCUUUUAUUCCAGAGACGACUAUUUUACAGAAAACCCCCUAGUUUCAUGCAUUUAAUAACUCAUCAUCUGUGCACCGAAUUAAAAUAAUUUAUAUAUGAAACUUGCUUAAAAUUAUGUGUAGAUUCAUAAUAUGCCACUUUCUUGCCAUGUGAAAAUGCUUAAAAUGUUGUUUGUUUAAAUUUUGCUCAAAUAACUUGUUAAAAUGGUUUAAUUCAUAACUAAUUAACCGUAGCUCUGUUUUAAAUAAUCUUUAUAUGUAAUUGGGGUAGAAAAAUGCCUAGUUUAUCAUGGUUCACUGUCUUUGCAUGUUUAAUAACUCUAAAAUGGUGUUUAGGGCAGAAGAGGACCAAACCUAAUAAAUGCAUAUGAGGAUUUUCCGGAAGUGUUGUUUAUUGUUCCGGCCUCAUUUAAAUUUGCCUAGAUAGGUAGUUUUCAUUUGCUUCACCCCUUGCCAUGUUAAUCAACAUUUAAUAUUGUUGGGUACAUAAAAGAGAUCGAACUAAAUAACUUGUUGUGGUGUUUCGUCAAUAUGCAACUCAUUGCAUAUUGAGCUCCACUUAAUUUGUAGGGUUGCUUGUGCACUUUGCCAUGCCAUGAUUCAUUAAACCGGACAUGCAUCAUACUUGGUUGUGCAUCAUGCUAUGUCCAUGUGGUGGUUGUUUACUAUGUUGUUUGCUCCUUUCCGGUGUUGCUUCUUCGGGUUGGUUCCGAUAACGUCGUGUUGUGAGGACCCGUUCGACUACGUCCGUUUGUCUUCUUCAUGGACUCGUUCUUCUUCCUUGCGGGAUCUCAGGCAAGAUGACCAUACCCUCGAAAUCACUUCUAUCUUUGCUUCCUAGUUGCUCGCUCUUUUGCUAUGCCUAUGUUGCGAUACCUACCAUUUGCUUAUCAUGCCUCCCAUAUUGUUGAACCAAGCCUCUAACCCACCUUGUCCUAGCAAACCGUUGUUUGGCUAUGUUAUCGCUUUUGUCAGCCCCUCUUAUAGCGUUGUUAGUUGCAGGUGAAGAUUGAAGUUUGUUCCUUGUUGGAACAUGGAGAUGUUGUUACUUGUUGGAACAUGUUUACUUGUUGGGGAUAUCACAAUACCUCUUAUUUAAUUAAUGCAUCUAUAUACUUGGUAAAGGGUGGAAGGCUCGGCCUUAUGCCUGGUGUUUUGUUCCACUCUUGCCGCCCUAGUUUCCAUCAUAUCUGUGUUAUGUUCCCGGAUUUUGCGUUCCUUACGCGAUUGGGUAAUAAUGGGAACCCCUUGACAAAUCGCCUUGAAUAAAACUCUUCCAGCAAUGCCCAACCUUGGUUUUACCAUUUGCCACCUAGCCUCUUUUUCCCUUGGGUUUCCGGAGCCCAAGGGUCAUCUUAUUUAAACCCCCCCGGGCCAGUGCUCCUCUGAGUGUUGGUCCAAACUAGAGCCCUGUGCAGCGCCCCCUCGGGGAAACUCAAGGUUUGGUUUUAGUUGUACAGAUUGCUCAUCUGAGUGUGCCCUAAGAACGAGAUAUGUGCAGCUCCUAUCGGGAUUUGUCGGCACAUUCGGGCAGUGUUGCUGGAUUUGUUUUAACUUGUCAAAGUUGUCUUGUAGAACUGGGAUACCGAGUCUGAUCGGAAUGUCUCGGGAGAAGGUAUAUCAUUCGUUGACCGUGAGAGCUUGUCAUGGGCUAAGUUGGGACUCCCCUGCAGGGAUUUGAACUUUCGAAAGAUGUGCCCGCGGUUAUGGGCAGAUGGGAAUUUGUUAAUGUCCGGUUGUAGAAAACCUAAAGUUAACCUUAAUUAAAAUGCAUCAACCGUGUGUGUUACCGUGAUUGUCUCUUUCCGGCGGUGUCCGGGAAGUGAACACGGUGUUGGAGUUAUGCUUGACGUAGGUUGUUCUAGGAUCACUUCUUGAUCAUAGUUUCUCGAUCGUGCUUUGCCUUCUCUUAUCGCUCUCAUUUGCGUAUGUUAGCCACCAUAUAUGCUAGUCGCUUGCUGCAGCUACACAUCAUACCUUUGCCUUACCUAUAAGCUUAAAUAGUCUUGAUCGCGAGGGUGUGAGAUUGCUGAGUCCCCAUGUCUCACAGAUACUUCCAAAACCAGUUUGCAGGUGCCGAUGUUGCCGAGCAGGUGACGCAACCUAGCUCAGGAGGAGCUCGAUGAAGAUCUUGUCCUUUGUGUUGUUUCGUUCUAGUUGAUCAGUAGUGGAGCCCAGUUGGGGUCGAUCGGGGAUCUGUGUAGCUUUUGGGGUAGUCUUCUUUUAUUUUGGUUCCUUAGUCGGACCUUGAUUGUAUCUGGAUGAUGUAAUGCUUUAUUCAUGUAAUUGUGUGAAGUGGCGAGUGUAAGCCAACUAUGUAUCUCUUUCCCUUAUGUAUUACAUGGGUUGUGUGAAG